GACAGAGGGGCCGAGCGUUAGUCGGAAUCACUGGGCUUAAAGCGUGUGUAGGCGGACUUCUAAGUCCCUUGUGAAAUCCCACGGCUCAACCGUGGAACUGCUCGGUAUACUGGUCGUCUUGAGCCACCUAGGGGCGAGCGGAACAAGCGGUGGAGCGGUGAAAUGCGUAGAGAUGUGGAGGAACACCGAUGGCGAAGGCAGCCUUCUGGGCCAACACUGACGCUCAUGCACGAAAGCGUGGGGAGCAAACAGG
RNAcentral lists this ribosomal RNA (253 nucleotides) under uncultured bacterium. Its description in RNAcentral is "partial 16S ribosomal RNA". It matches the Rfam family "Bacterial small subunit ribosomal RNA", at positions 524 to 776 of the family's 1533-position model. The record is from RNAcentral.